RNAcentral lists this ribosomal RNA (484 nucleotides) under uncultured bacterium. Its description in RNAcentral is "partial 16S ribosomal RNA". It matches the Rfam family "Bacterial small subunit ribosomal RNA", at positions 29 to 507 of the family's 1533-position model. The record is from RNAcentral.
AUUGAACGCUGGCGGCAUGCUUUACACAUGCAAGUCGAACGGCAGCGCGGGCUUCGGCCUGGCGGCGAGUGGCGAACGGGUGAGUAAUGCAUCGGAACGUGCCCAGUAGUGGGGGAUAGCCCGGCGAAAGCCGGAUUAAUACCGCAUACGACCAGAGGGUGAAAGCGGGGGACCGAAAGGCCUCGCGCUAUUGGAGCGGCCGAUGUCGGAUUAGCUAGUUGGUGGGGUAAAGGCUUACCAAGGCGACGAUCCGUAGCUGGUCUGAGAGGACGACCAGCCACACUGGGACUGAGACACGGCCCAGACUCCUACGGGAGGCAGCAGUGGGGAAUUUUGGACAAUGGGGGCAACCCUGAUCCAGCCAUGCCGCGUGAGGGAAGAAGGCCUUCGGGUUGUAAACCGCUUUUGUUCGGGAAGAAAUCCUCUGGGCUAAUACCCCGGGGGGAUGACGGUACCGGAAGAAUAAGCACCGGCUAACUACGUG